AUUGAACGCUGGCGGCAUGCUUUACACAUGCAAGUCGAACGGCAGCGGGGAGAAGCUUGCUUCUCUGUCGGCGAGUGGCGAACGGGUGAGUAUAGCAUCGGAACGUGCCAAGUAGUGGGGGAUAACCAAACGAAAGUUUGGCUAAUACCGCGUAAGCUCUAAGGAGGAAAGUAGGGGACCUAAAUAAGGCCUUACGCUAUUUGAUCGGCCGAUGUCGGAUUAGCUAGUUGGUGGGGUAAUGGCUCACCAAGGCAAUGAUCCGUAGCGGGUCUGAGAGGACGAUCCGCCACACUGGGACUGAGACACGGCCCAGACUCCUACGGGAGGCAGCAGUGGGGAAUUUUGGACAAUGGGGGAAACCCUGAUCCAGCCAUGCCGCGUGUAUGAAGAAGGCCUUAGGGUUGUAAAGUACUUUUGUUAGGGAAGAAAAGCUAGUUUUUAAUAAAAAUUAGUGAUGACGGUACCUAAAGAAUAAGCACCGGCUAACUACGUG
Molecule: ribosomal RNA, 493 nt
Filed under: uncultured bacterium
Lineage: Bacteria
Description: partial 16S ribosomal RNA
Rfam family: Bacterial small subunit ribosomal RNA
Source: RNAcentral